GUUGCAGGGUAUAGACCCGAAACCCGGUGAUCUAGCCAUGGGCAGGUUGAAGGUUGGGUAACACUAACUGGAGGACCGAACCGACUAAUGUUGAAAAAUUAGCGGAUGACCUGUGGCUGGGGGUGAAAGGCCAAUCAAACCGGGAGAUAGCUGGUUCUCCCCGAAAGCUAUUUAGGUAGCGCCUCGUGAAUUCAUCUCCGGGGGUAGAGCACUGUUUCGGCUAGGGGGCCAUCCCGGCUUACCAACCCGAUGCAAACUGCGAAUACCGGAGAAUGUUAUCACGGGAGACACACGGCGGGUGCUAACGUCCGUCGUGAAGAGGGAAACAACCCAGACCGCCAGCUAAGGUCCCAAAGUCAUGGUUAAGUGGGAAACGAUGUGGGAAGGCCCAGACAGCCAGGAUGUUGGCUUAGAAGCAGCCAUCAUUUAAAGAAAGCGUAAUAGCUCACUGGUCGAGUCGGCCUGCGCGGAAGA
Molecule: ribosomal RNA, 474 nt
Filed under: Salmonella enterica subsp. diarizonae
Lineage: Bacteria; Pseudomonadati; Pseudomonadota; Gammaproteobacteria; Enterobacterales; Enterobacteriaceae
Description: partial 23S ribosomal RNA
Rfam family: Bacterial large subunit ribosomal RNA
Source: RNAcentral